RNAcentral lists this ribosomal RNA (657 nucleotides) under Triticum aestivum (bread wheat). RNAcentral's name for it is "partial small subunit ribosomal RNA". Lineage: Eukaryota; Viridiplantae; Streptophyta; Magnoliopsida; Poales; Poaceae. The record is from RNAcentral.
AUGUCGCCCGACGACGUGUCCCGGAAGUCGCCCGUGCCGCCGCCGUCCCCGCCGCCGAUGGACUCGUGGGCUCGGGGAGGGCGUCGCUCCAGGCGCCGUGGCAGCAGCGGCAGCGCCAGCUCUGGCGGCGGCGUCGAGUCCGAGGAGGAGUACCUGGCGCUCUCCCUCCUCAUGCUGUCCCGCGGCGUCCGCGGCGAGGUCGAGGACGGCGGCAUCGGAGGCGUCAAGGGCUUGGGAGCGGCGCCGACCAAGGCGCAGGGGUACGGGUGCUCCGUGUGCGGCAAGGUCUACGCGUCCUACCAAGCGCUAGGCGGCCACAAGACGAGCCACCGGAAGCCGCCCACGCCGCCAGCGGCGUCGGCGGGCGGCGACGAGGCGUCCGGCGGCGCCCCCGUGGAGGCCAAGGUGCACCAGUGCUCGCUCUGCCACCGCACGUUCCCGUCCGGGCAGGCGCUGGGCGGGCACAAGCGCCUGCACUACGAGGGCGGCGCCGCGGCCGACGGGACCGGCAAGGACAAGGAGGCCGCCAAGGCGAAGGCGGCGGCGCUGCUGAGGGACUUCGACCUGAACCUGCCGGCGUCAGGGGUGGCCGGGGACGAGGCCGAGAGCCCGCCCCCGGAGGCGAAGAGGGCGAGGCUGAUGCUACUAGCAGUCUGA